RNAcentral lists this ribosomal RNA (421 nucleotides) under uncultured bacterium. RNAcentral's name for it is "partial 16S ribosomal RNA". It matches the Rfam family "Bacterial small subunit ribosomal RNA", at positions 361 to 774 of the family's 1533-position model. The record is from RNAcentral.
AUCUUCCGCAAUGGACGAAAGUCUGACGGAGCAACGCCGCGCGAGGUAUGAAGGUUUUCGGAUCGUAAAACUCUGUUGUUAGGGAAGAACAAGUAGCGGCGUCACUGCCGGUACCUUGACGGUACCUGACGUGCAAGCCCCGGCUAACUACCGUCCAGCAGCCGCGGUAAUACGUAGGUGGCAAGCGUUGUGCGGAAUUAAUGGGCGUAAAGCGCGCGCAGGCGGUUUUUUAAGUCUGAUGUGAAAGCUUACAGCUUAACUGUAAGAGGUCAUUGGAAACUGGGAGACUUGAGUGCAGAAGAGGAGAGUGGAAUUCCAUGUGUAGCGGUGAAAUGCGUAGAGAUAUGGAGGAACACCAGUGGCGAAGGCGACUCUCUGGUCUGUAACUGACGCUGAGGCGCGAAAGCGUGGGGAUCAAACA